UGAUAUCAGGGUCAAAAGGUCAGAAGUCCGAUGCAAGCUUGCUUGCGUGAGGAUUUUUGACGUUGUGACCCGCCAAAAAUAUGAGUAAGUAGCCAUUUUUUCAAAGAAAAAUGUGCGAAUUACGAAUGUUAUUGAGAAUUGUGGGAGCACGCAGUGCGGAGCAAUUCGAUAUCA
Small RNA from Firmicutes bacterium CAG:882, 174 nucleotides. It matches the Rfam family "Clostridiales-1 RNA". The record is from Rfam. NCBI's taxonomy places the organism in Bacteria, Bacillati, Bacillota.